RNAcentral lists this ribosomal RNA (468 nucleotides) under uncultured bacterium. Its description in RNAcentral is "partial 16S ribosomal RNA". It matches the Rfam family "Bacterial small subunit ribosomal RNA", at positions 29 to 508 of the family's 1533-position model. The record is from RNAcentral.
ACGAACGCUGGCGGCGUGCUUAACACAUGCAAGUCGAACGGAAAGGCCCUGCUUUUGUGGGGUGCUCGAGUGGCGAACGGGUGAGUAACACGUGAGUAACCUGCCCUUGACUUUGGGAUAACUUCAGGAAACUGGGGCUAAUACCGGAUAGGAGCUCCUGCUGCAUGGUGGGGGUUGGAAAGUUUCGGCGGUUGGGGAUGGACUCGCGGCUUAUCAGCUUGUUGGUGGGGUAGUGGCUUACCAAGGCUUUGACGGGUAGCCGGCCUGAGAGGGUGACCGGCCACAUUGGGACUGAGAUACGGCCCAGACUCCUACGGGGGGCAGCAGUGGGGAAUAUUGCACAAUGGGCGGAAGCCUGAUGCAGCAACGCCGCGUGCGGGAUGACGGCCUUCGGGUUGUAAACCGCUUUCGCCUGUGACGAAGCGUGAGUGACGGUAAUGGGUAAAGAAGCACCGGCUAACUACGUGC